ACUACAUAGAUUAUAUAAAUAAAUAAAUUUAUAGCAACAUCCAUCUAAACAGUGAAGUGCGGUAUUGUCUGCGUAUGACGAUCAUUGGCGAGACCAAAAGCUGUUGAAGGAGAGUAGCCAUGUGUGGAACGUUAAUGUUUGUAUCCACUAUGACCGACGUAUACCAGCUAUUGGUUUCUGGCCUGUUGUCUUUUCAUAUAUUAUUAUCUGCGCACCACCUCCACGCCAUGGGCAGUUCAACCGGGUCAUUAUCGUUGAUUAUCUGUUGCGUACGUCUUCUUUUUUGGAGUUCGAGAGCUUCUAGGGUAUUGAUCCCUGUAGGAUAUCUUAAAGGCUUAAUUAUAGACACCGCAUUCCACUUGAUGUCUAU
RNAcentral lists this long non-coding RNA (370 nucleotides) under Androctonus crassicauda. The record is from RNAcentral. Lineage: Eukaryota; Metazoa; Arthropoda; Arachnida; Scorpiones; Buthidae.